CCUGGUGACCAUACGUACGGGAAAACGCCUGAUCCCAUUCCGAACUCAGAAGCUAAGACCGUCCGGCCGAUGAUAGUCCUUCGGGGCGAAAGUAGGUGAUUGCCAGGA
Molecule: ribosomal RNA, 108 nt
Filed under: Bacteroidota bacterium
Lineage: Bacteria; Pseudomonadati; Bacteroidota
Also listed under: 1 other name
Source: RNAcentral